UACGUAGGGGGCAAGCGUUAUCCGGAAUUACUGGGUGUAAAGGGUGAGUAGGCGGCAUGGUAAGCCAGAUGUGAAAGCCUUGGGCUUAACCCGAGGAUUGCAUUUGGAACUAUCAAGCUAGAGUACGGGAGAGGAAAGCGGAAUUCCUAGUGUAGCGGUGAAAUGCGUAGAUAUUAGGAAGAACACCAGUGGCGAAGGCGGCUUUCUGGACUGAAACUGACGCUGAGGCACGAAAGCGUGGGGAGCGAACAGG
RNAcentral lists this ribosomal RNA (253 nucleotides) under uncultured bacterium. Its description in RNAcentral is "partial 16S ribosomal RNA". It matches the Rfam family "Bacterial small subunit ribosomal RNA", at positions 524 to 776 of the family's 1533-position model. The record is from RNAcentral.